Molecule: long non-coding RNA, 2639 nt
Organism: Nerophis ophidion (straightnose pipefish)
Lineage: Eukaryota; Metazoa; Chordata; Actinopteri; Syngnathiformes; Syngnathidae
Exons: 2
Source: RefSeq, a predicted model, not a curated record
GGUGAACGGGAGAACGCUGCAGCCUUGAUCUCGUUUGCUGGUGGAGGCGGGGUCUAAAAAGGACAAAACACAGGCACUGAAAGACAUGAGUUGACCUCCUGGAUGAGUUUCGACUCCAUCUUCAGGUUCUUCGGCGAGGUCCUGAAGGUGAAAGAGGACGAGGAGGAGAUGUCCACCAACAUCGUCAGCACACGCAGCAGCGCCCUCAAAAGCAAACAUCAGGAUUUGUAAAAAAAAAAAAAGAAAAGUAAAAUAAUCUCCUUCCCCCCUUUAAGAGUCUUGGGUCAGCAUGUAAACGCACCAAUCACGUCAAGAUGGCUGCAAAAUGUGCGGACAUGAUUGUGCUGUGCUACCAAACGGGUGCCGAACACAGUGCCUUGUGGUACGCCUUUUCUGACUGUUAGCAUGGACUUUUUUCAUUUUCACUUCCAAUAUAUGCACGACCAUACUUUUUUUUAAAGAUUUUAAUGACUCUUUCAACUUUAAAGGCCUACUGAAAUGAGAUUUUCUUAUUUAAACGGGGAUAUCAGGUCCAUUCUAUGUGUCAUACUUGAUCAUUUCGCGAUAUUGCCAUAUUUUUGCUGAAAGGAUUUAGUAGAGAACAUCGACGAUAAAGUUCGCAACUUUUGGUGCUGAUAUAAAAAUGAUGACGUCACAAGGGUGAGGGCUCCUCAUGUCCUCACAUUGUUUUUAAUGGGAGCCUCCAUCAGCAAGAGCUAUUCGGACCGAGAAAACAACAAUUUGCCCAAUAAUUUGAGCAAGGAUGAAAGAUUCGUGGAUGAUGAUAUUGAUAGCGAAGGACUAGAAAAAAAAAAUGAUAACAAAAUAAAAUCAAAAGCGACGGCUCCGCAGUGUGAGCGUUUCAGAUGUAAUUAGACACAUUUACUAGGAUAAUUCUGGAAUAUCCCUUAUCUCCUUAUUGUUUUAAUAGUGUUUUAGUGAGAUUUUAAAGACAUACCUCGAGGUCGGAUGGCUGCGGUGAACACGCCAGUGUCUCAGAGAGAAGCCGAGGAGCCAAGCUCACAGCUGCCUUUUAAACAGCUAAUGCAGGAGGACGAAUAAUCCAAUGAUGUCUCCGGUAAGAUAUAUAUCACAAUUUUCCCAUCCAAAAACAUGCUGGUUGACGUAGAGAAACAUGUUCGCUUGACCGCUCUGUGUUAAAAACAAAGAAACACCGGCUGUGUCUCGGUGCUAAAGGCAGCUGCAAUACACCGCUUUCCACCAACAGCAUCGUUCUUUAUAGUCUCCAUUAUUAAUUGAACAAUUUGCAAAAGAUUCAUCAACACAGAUGUCCAGAAUACUGUUUAAUUGCGCGAUGAAAAGAGACGACUUUUAGCCGCUAGUAGUGUUGCGCUAUUAUUUCCUGACAGUAAGUGACGUCACGCGCACGAGUCAUCAUUCCGUGACGCUUUCAACAAGAAUCUUCGCGGGAAAUUCAAAAAAAUUGCAAUUUAGUAAACUAAACCGGCCGUAUUGGCAUGUGUUGCAAUGUUAAUAUUUCAUCAUUGAUAUAUAAACUAUCAGACUGCGUGGUGGGUAGUAGUGGGUUUCAGUACGCCUUUAAAACUUAUUUACCGAGAUACAUGUCGCACAGCUGUGCAUUCCUCUCCUCUCCAUAUCUCGGACGAUUCAAGCGAUGCGCUCGGAAUCUUUUCUGGCGAGCGUAUUUGAAAUCACUUAAAAAUGAAGCAUCAAAUGGAUUUUAGUGAUAUUUUGUUAAAACAGGAGCCACAAGGCAGCUUAAUGGAUGACGCGCGUCAGGAAAUGCAAGAUCUGGAUAUUAUUCUAAGCCUGAAUGAUGUCGGAGAAAAGUACAUUUGUUCUUAGAUGUGACAACGCCGCGCUCAGCCGCACGUAAUCUGACUAUGCGACACCAACACAAUAUUUUUUUACUAUUUUAAACCAAUCAAGGCUUAACAGAAGACAUUUCACAAGUGUCUCGACGUUAGCCAUGGCUAAAUCUUACCAUACCUCCUUUUUAAAUGUGGACUCCCCUUCUUCUGAUCGUCAUUAUUGUUUAACUUUUAACUGUGAAAUCCUCUUUCUCCCUCCCGUGUGUGUGUGUGUGUGUGUGUGUGUGUGUGUGUUCAUGCUUUUGAGGAUUAUCUCCAUGCUGUAAUGAGACAAGUGUGGCUGAUGGUUGCAAGGCCUAAUUUCCUUUUAAUUUGAUUCCCAUCUCUCUUGCUUUCAGUAAAAUAAAAAAAAGAUAAAUAAAAUACAACGAGUCCUGCAUAUUAUUUGAUUUGAUAUGAAUUUGCUUUCCAGAUACCGUUGCUCAUUUUUGUGGCUUUUCACGGAAAAUGUGCUCAUUCUUCUACCAUUUUAUCAUUUGUACAUUGUUGCCUUGAGGGAACAAACAAGGCUUUUUUUUUUCUUUAAAUAAACCAAUGAUGAAAAAAUGCAAAGCCUGAUAAUAAAUGAAAUUAUUUUUUUCAGCCAAUUUUCACAUGAACAUAUUUGUGUGUGCAAUAGGAGGAAAAAUACCUGCUUACACUGUCAUCAUUCAGGUAUUUUAUGAAACUUCCUUAAUUGUGGUAUAAAAGCUACUGUAAAGUAUUUUUUAAAAUGUGUGUAUAUACUUUAUGACAAAGUUGAAGAAUACGAACAAAUCAAAUGCAAAUAAACUGUUUUAUACCUCA